GACGAACGCUGGCGGCGUGCUUAAUACAUGCAAGUCGUACGGUGAAGCGCUUUCCUCAUUGGUGGGUGUGGAUGAGUGGCGAACGGGUGAGUAACACGUCAGUAACCUGCCCCAUUCUUCUGGAUAACCGCAUGAAAGCGUGGCUAAUACGGGAUAUUCUGCGCCUUCUGCAUGGUGUGUGUUGGAAAGUUUGUGGCUUUGGGUGGUGUCGGCGGGGGAUGGGCUCGCGGCCUAUCAGCUGGUUGGUGGGGUGAUGGCCUACCAAGGCGGUGACGGGUAGCCGGCCUGAGAGGGUGGACGGUCACACUGGGACUGAGACACGGCCCCGACUCCUACGGGAGGCAGCAGUGGGGAAUAUUGAACAAUGGACGCAAGCCUGAUGCAGCGACGCCGCGUGGGGGAUGGAGGCCUUCGGGUUGUGAACCUUUUUCGCCAGUGAAGCAGGCCUGCUCAUUGUGGGUGAGUUGACGGUAGCUGGAUAAGAAGCGCCGGCUAACUCCGUG
Molecule: ribosomal RNA, 503 nt
Filed under: uncultured bacterium
Lineage: Bacteria
Description: partial 16S ribosomal RNA
Rfam family: Bacterial small subunit ribosomal RNA
Source: RNAcentral